UGCCAGCAGCCGCGGUAACACGUAGGGGGCGAGCGUUGUCCGGAUUUAUUGGGCGUAAAGAGCUCGUAGGCGGCUCAGUAAGUCGGGUGUGAAAUUUCAGGGCUCAACCCUGAAACGCCACCCGAUACUGCUGUGGCUAGAGUCCGGUAGAGGAGCGUGGAAUUUCUGGUGUAGCGGUGAAAUGCGCAGAUAUCAGAAGGAACACCAGCGGCGAAGGCGGCGCUCUGGGCCGGAACUGACGCUGAGGAGCGAAAGCAUGGGUAGCGAACAGGAUUAGAUA
RNAcentral lists this ribosomal RNA (280 nucleotides) under uncultured bacterium. RNAcentral describes it as "partial 16S ribosomal RNA". It matches the Rfam family "Bacterial small subunit ribosomal RNA", at positions 506 to 784 of the family's 1533-position model. The record is from RNAcentral.